GACGAACGCUGGCGGCGUGCUUAACACAUGCAAGUCGAACGGUGCGGCGAACGGGUGAGUAACUCGCGGGUGAUCUGCCUUGCACUUCGGGGUAAGCUUGCGAUACACGGGAUAAUACGGGAUCGUGCAAGAUGAGCUCGCGGCCUAUCAGCUUUUUGGUGGGGUAAUGGCCUCCCAAGGCGUCGACGGGUAGCCGGCCUGAGAGGGUGUACGGCCACAUUGGGACUGAGAUACGGCCCAGAAGCCUACGGGAGACAGGAGUGGGGAGUAUUGCACAAUGGGCGGAAGGCUGAUGCAGCGACGCCGCGUGGGGGAGGAAGGCAUUCGGGUUGAAAACUCCUUUCGACAGGGACGCGGUACCUGAAUAAGAAGCACCGGCUAACUACGUGCCAGCAGCCGCGGUAAUAA
This 408-nucleotide ribosomal RNA is filed under the name uncultured bacterium. Its description in RNAcentral is "partial 16S ribosomal RNA". It matches the Rfam family "Bacterial small subunit ribosomal RNA", at positions 28 to 526 of the family's 1533-position model. The record is from RNAcentral.